GAUGAACGCUGGCGGCGUGCCUAAUACAUGCAAGUCGAGCGAACAGACGAGGAGCUUGCUCCUCUGACGUUAGCGGCGGACGGGUGAGUAACACGUGGAUAACCUACCUAUAAGACUGGGAUAACUUCGGGAAACCGGAGCUAAUACCGGAUAAUAUAUUGAACCGCAUGGUUCAAUAGUGAAAGACGGUUUUGCCGUCACUUAUAGAUGGAUCCGCGCCGCAUUAGCUAGUUGGUAAGGUAACGGCUUACCAAGGCAACGAUGCGUAGCCGACCUGAGAGGGUGAUCGGCCACACUGGAACUGAGACACGAUCCAGACUCCUACGGGAGGCAGCAGUAGGGAAUCUUCCGCAAUGGGCGAAAGCCUGACGGAGCAACGCCGCGUGAGUGAUGAAGGUCUUCGGAUCGUAAAACUCUGUUAUUAGGGAAGAACAAAUGUGUAAGUAACUAUGCACGUCUUGACGGUACCUAAUCAGAAAGCCACGGCUAACUACGUG
Molecule: ribosomal RNA, 497 nt
Filed under: uncultured bacterium
Lineage: Bacteria
Description: partial 16S ribosomal RNA
Rfam family: Bacterial small subunit ribosomal RNA
Source: RNAcentral